UGGGGAAUAUUGGACAAUGGGGGCAACCCUGAUCCAGCGAUGCCGCGUGUGUGAAGAAGGCCUGAGGGUUGUAAAGCACUUUAGUUGUUGAGGAAGGUUGUGAGGUGAAUACCCUCAUAACUUGACGGUAAACAAAGAAUAAGCACCGGCUAACUCUGUGCCAGCAGCCGCGGUAAUACGAAGGGAGCUAGCGUUGUUCGGAAUCACUGGGCGUAAAGCGCACGUAGGCGGAUAGUUAAGUCAGGGGUGAAAUCCUGGGGCUCAACCCCAGAACUGCCUUUGAUACUGGCUGUCUCGAGGUCGAGAGAGGUGAGUGGAAUUCCUAGUGUAGAGGUGAAAUUCGUAGAUAUUAGGAAGAACACCGGUGGCGAAGGCGGCUCACUGGCUCGAUACUGACACUGAGGUGCGAAAGCGUGGGGAGCAAACAGGAUUAGAUACCCGCGUAGUCCCUGAGCGGGCUGGCAAGGCGCAU
RNAcentral lists this ribosomal RNA (472 nucleotides) under uncultured bacterium. Its description in RNAcentral is "bacterial SSU rRNA". It matches the Rfam family "Bacterial small subunit ribosomal RNA", at positions 355 to 825 of the family's 1533-position model. The record is from RNAcentral.